RNAcentral lists this ribosomal RNA (245 nucleotides) under uncultured bacterium. Its description in RNAcentral is "partial 16S ribosomal RNA". It matches the Rfam family "Bacterial small subunit ribosomal RNA", at positions 524 to 768 of the family's 1533-position model. The record is from RNAcentral.
UACGGAGGGUGCGAGCGUUGUUCGGAAUUAUUGGGCGUAAAGCGCGUGUAGGCGGUUCUUUAAGUCUGAUGUGAAAGCCCCGGGCUCAACCUGGGAAGUGCAUUGGAUACUGGAGGACUUGAGUACGGGAGAGGGUAGUGGAAUUCCUAGUGUAGGAGUGAAAUCCGUAGAUAUUAGGAGGAACACCGGUGGCGAAGGCGGCUACCUGGACCGAUACUGACGCUGAGACGCGAAAGCGUGGGGAG